UGUUCCUACGGGGGGCAGCAGUGGGGAAUAUUGCACAAUGGGGGAUACCCUGAUGCAGCGACGCCGCGUGAGUGAAGAAGUAUUUCGGUACGUAAAGCUCUAUCAGCAGGGAAGAAAAAGAGUCCUUUGGACUUUGGACGGUACCUGACCAAGAAGCCCCGGCUAACUACGUGCCAGCAGCCGCGGUAAUACGUAGGGGGCAAGCGUUAUCCGGAUUUACUGGGUGUAAAGGGAGCGUAGACGGC
Molecule: ribosomal RNA, 245 nt
Filed under: uncultured bacterium
Lineage: Bacteria
Description: partial 16S ribosomal RNA
Rfam family: Bacterial small subunit ribosomal RNA
Source: RNAcentral